Molecule: ribosomal RNA, 439 nt
Filed under: uncultured bacterium
Lineage: Bacteria
Description: partial 16S ribosomal RNA
Rfam family: Bacterial small subunit ribosomal RNA
Source: RNAcentral
CGGGUUGCUGCACCAGUGGGGAAUAUUGCACAAUGGAGGAAACUCUGAUGCAGCAACGCCGCGUGGAGGAUGACACUUUUCGGAGCGUAAACUCCUUUUAUAUAGGAAGAAGAUGACGGUACUAUAUGAAUAAGCGCCGGCUAACUCCGUGCCAGCAGCCGCGGUAAUACGGAGGGCGCAAGCGUUACUCGGAAUCACUGGGCGUAAAGAGCGUGUAGGCGGAUUAAAAAGUCAGAAGUGAAAUCCUAUAGCUUAACUAUAGAACUGCUUCUGAAACUCUUAAUCUAGAAUGUGGGAGAGGUAGAUGGAAUUUCUGGUGUAGGGGUAAAAUCCGUAGAGAUCAGAAGGAAUACCGAUUGCGAAGGCGAUCUACUAGAACAUUAUUGACGCUGAGACGCGAAAGCGUGGGGAGCAAACAGGAUUAGAUACCCCAGUAGUC